ACAAAAAGUUGGACACAACUGAAGUGACUUAGCACAGCACAGCAGCAUACUUGUUUAAGGCAUACAAGAUCCUAGUUCUCUGGCCAAGGAUGGAAGCCACAGUCUCCUGCAUUAGAAGCAUGGAGUCUCAACCACCGGACCACCAAGGAAGUCUCAGACAGCUGGUUAUUUUAGAGGAAGGAUUAUUCAGACUUCAUGAUGGGGAAACCCUAAAUGGAAGCGUCUAGAUUCAAUCCUAAAGUGUAAGUGCAUAUUAUUUUUGCAAAUUUCCAGAUGUCUUGGUUUGUCCACUGAAAUUCUGACUGUUGAACUAGAUAGGUAAAUACCUGCCAAAGCAGAUUGUGUGAUCUUAAGCAAUUUUCAGGAUGGAAAAUAUCAAUUGCUCAAGCUAGAAGGGAAAAGGAAUGAACAUUCAUAGGGUGCUUACUAUGUGCUGGUUGUUUUAUACAUAUUAUCUCACUGGAUCAUCACAAGAAUCCUGGGAAGUAGGAGUUACACCCAUUGAGAUUCAGAGCAGUUACCUGUUGUAUUUUUUUAGCUUACUGUAAUUUUGGCCAAGGUCACAAAUCUAUUAAAAUAAUAAAAAAUUA
Bubalus bubalis (water buffalo) is the source of this 590-nucleotide long non-coding RNA. RefSeq lists it as uncharacterized. The record is from RefSeq and is a predicted model, not a curated record. Lineage: Eukaryota; Metazoa; Chordata; Mammalia; Artiodactyla; Bovidae. The transcript is spliced from 2 exons.